Molecule: long non-coding RNA, 1793 nt
Filed under: Heterocephalus glaber (naked mole-rat)
Lineage: Eukaryota; Metazoa; Chordata; Mammalia; Rodentia; Bathyergidae
Description: lncRNA (ENSHGLG00100048005.1)
Source: RNAcentral
CACAUCUUUCAUCUGGACGGUGGCUCAGAAGGCUACUCCAGACACCCACCGUUAGGUCCCACAUCCUUCUUCCAAGCCGUGUGCGGCCUGGCCUAGCACGACCCAUCCCAUCUCCUCCACUGCUCCUCAGGGUCCACAUUAUCCCGUCCGGUUCUCUGGCGUGACAGGUGGAGAAACCGAGGCCCGGAGUUGGAAGGAACUUCCCCCACGGUCCUGGACACUUUGGAUCUGCGUUAUUCGCCCAAUCCCCUCUGCAACCCUGACAGGAUCUAUGUAGUCCAGGCUGGCCCCAAACUCGAGGGGCCUCAGCCUCCCGAGUGCUGGGAUGACAGGUGUGCGCCACCACGGCAGCUGAACAACUCCGGACAGAAUUCCAAGGGGCACAAAGCAGCCACUUCUAGCCCGGAACCCCUGGUGUACGCACAGGGCUUUGCACGUCCGGAUAGACAAACUCCAGGAGUGACUCCAGGAGCGAUGUCAUGCACUCCUCUGCCGUCUGGUGGUGCUCUCGGGAGCCGCCGGAAGCACAGGGCCUGCCAGUAUCGUGCAGGACAUGCAACACCCCUGGGACCAUCUGGAACGCCCCACAUUUCCAACCCCUCGAGGUGGCGUCCCGCCCGCGGGGGAGUUGCCCAAAGCCCACCUUUCUGCUGACCACCCAGGCGACCCUGCCCUUCCUCAGUCCCAGCAGACACCAGCCACCGCCUGGAGUGUCCCCGGACCACUGCAACAGCCGUUCUUCCAACGGGUCACCAGGGGGCGUCCUGAGACCAGGUUCUGCACAGCCGCGGGCUUGAAAUUAACUGCGAAUGAGGAGAGGACCCCGCAGUGGGCAGAACCAUGCUCUGGGGAAGCCAUCAGCCAGUGUUUGUCCAGCUUCUUCCCCACCCAGUGUUGCUUAAUGCAGGGGUCAGAGCGUCAUCAGGCCAGGUGACCUUUGGUACAGGCCAGUCACUCCAUGUGGCCUCGUGGUGCCAGUGAGGGUUGUAAACAACAGGUGUGGGAGGCCGCUGUGGGCUAACAGCACACUGCUUUACAGCGAGCUUUCUGAAAACAACAGCAUACUCAGCCAGGUAUGAGGAUCCUGGAAGGCUGAGGCAGGAGGAUCACAAGUUCAACCCCAACUUAAUUUAGCAAAACCCUGUCCUGAAAUAAAAUUAGAUAACAGUUUGAGGAAUUUAUUCUGUACCUCCAUCCUGGGUACUUUCCAUGAAAGUUUUUUUUUUCUUGUUUUGUUUUGUUUUGUUUUGUUUUGUUGAGAUAAGGUCUUGCUAUGUAGCCCAGACUGGCCUCAGACUUAGAGAGAUCCUCCUGCCUCAGCCUCCCACGUGCUGGGAUUGCAGGUAUGCACCACCACACCCAGCCACGAACUCACUACUUUCAUCUUCACCAGUAACAGUAUGAGGCAGGCACCAUUAGGUGAUGAGCCAUUUGGCCGGGAAACUGAGGCACAGAAAGCUCUGUAACCUGCCUGGAGGUGCAGGGCUGACAAGCAGCAGAGAACUGCUGAACGGUGUCCUGGAAGGGAGUCCUGCUGGCAGGCAGGAUUUAGCCACCCUGUACUGCAAGAAAACAAGCAGCAAAAAUGCCAGCCCUCCAGAGACCCCUAAGGGAUGAUGCUGAAAACAUCCACAAGAAAGGAGCAGAGCCUGCCAGACGCAUUUCUCUGCAGGACCUGAGCCCGGGUGCGUUCUUGGGGUCAAAGAGCAUGCAGCGGUUGGGGGGACAGAGCUGAUAUGUGAGCCCUGUGUCCCCGGGUCCAGCUGCAAAUGACCACGGGAGACCUCCACAGG